This 325-nucleotide ribosomal RNA is filed under the name uncultured eukaryote. RNAcentral describes it as "partial 18S ribosomal RNA". It matches the Rfam family "Eukaryotic small subunit ribosomal RNA", at positions 1470 to 1796 of the family's 1831-position model. The record is from RNAcentral.
CCCUUAGAUGUCCUGGGCCGCACGCGCGCUACACUGAUGCAUUCAACGAGUUUUACCUCGGCCGAGAGGCCUGGGCAAUCUUUUAAACCUGCAUCGUGAUAGGGAUAGAUUAUUGCAAUUAUUAAUCUUGAACGAGGAAUUCCUAGUAAACGCAGAUCAUCAAUCUGCAUUGAUUACGUCCCUGCCCUUUGUACACACCGCCCGUCGCACCUACCGAUUGAAUGGUCCGGUGAAGCCUCGGGAUUGUGGCCAGUUCACUUUAUUGGGAGUUGGCUGCGAGAACUUGUCUAAACCUUAUCAUUUAGAGGAAGGUGAAGUCGUAACA